GAUGAACGCUGGCGGCGUGCCUAAUACAUGCAAGUCGAGCGAACGGACGAGAAGCUUGCUUCUCUGAUGUUAGCGGCUGACGGGUGUGUAACACGUGGAUAACCUACCUAUAAGACUGGGAUAACUUCGGGAAACCUGAGCUAAUACCGGAUAAUAUUUUGAACCGCAUGGUUCAAAAGUGAAAGACGUUCUUGCUGUCUCUUCUACAUUGAUCCUCGCUGCAUUAGCUAGUUGGUAAGGUAACGGCUUACCAAGGCAACGAUGCAUAGCCGACCUGAGAGGGGGAGCGGCAAAACUGGAACGGAGACAAGGAAAAGACAACUACGGGAGGAAGCAGAAGGGAAUAGGCGGCAAUGGGCGAAAGAAUGACGGAGCAACGCCGAGGGAGUGAUGAAGGUCUUAGGAUCGUAAAACUCUGUUAUUAGGGAAGAAAAUAUGUGUAAGUAAAUGUGAACAUCUUGACGGUAGCUAAUAAGAAAGCAACGGCUAACUACGUG
This 497-nucleotide ribosomal RNA is filed under the name uncultured bacterium. RNAcentral describes it as "partial 16S ribosomal RNA". It matches the Rfam family "Bacterial small subunit ribosomal RNA", at positions 28 to 507 of the family's 1533-position model. The record is from RNAcentral.